AAUCAACGCUGGCGGCGUGCCUCAGACAUGCAAGUCGAACGAUUAAAGCUCUCUUCGGAGAGUGCAUAGAGUGGCGCACGGGUGAGUAACACGUAAGUAAUCUACCUUCGAGUGGGGAAUAACGUCCGGAAACGGACGCUAAUACCGCAUAAUGCAGCGGCAUCGCAAGAUGACAGUUGUUAAAGAUUUAUCGCUUGAAGAGGAGCUUGCGGCAGAUUAGCUAGUUGGUAAGGUAAUGGCUUACCAAGGCUACGAUCUGUAACCGGUCUAAGAGGACGGUCGGUCACACUGACACUGAAUAACGGGUCAGACUCCUACGGGAGGCAGCAGUCGGGAAUUUUGGGCAAUGGGCGAAAGCCUGACCCAGCAACGCCGCGUGAAGGAUGAAGUAUUUCGGUAU
This 400-nucleotide ribosomal RNA is filed under the name uncultured bacterium. RNAcentral describes it as "bacterial SSU rRNA". It matches the Rfam family "Bacterial small subunit ribosomal RNA", at positions 32 to 424 of the family's 1533-position model. The record is from RNAcentral.